This is a long non-coding RNA of Ipomoea triloba (trilobed morning glory), 525 nucleotides long. RefSeq lists it as uncharacterized. The record is from RefSeq and is a predicted model, not a curated record. Lineage: Eukaryota; Viridiplantae; Streptophyta; Magnoliopsida; Solanales; Convolvulaceae. The transcript has 3 exons.
GACCUAGCAAACCAGUAGCGCCCAUGGCAGUGACCGGCGUCUUCCCUCCUCCGGCCUAGUCACGCAGCAACGACGAACCCGACGGCGUUGGGCAGUGGCGGCGGUAGUCGUGCGACCCCUCUCCUUCUCCCCUGUUUGUUCUUCUCAGCAAAACAAUGGCAGUGGUGGAUGGAUGCCAAUCAUAAGGUUACCUGUUAUGGACUAACUGAUGAGUUGAGCCUAGAUUGGAUGCUUGCUUUUGAAGCUUAGCUUAAGGACUUGAUAGAAGUAACUCAUUUUGAGAGCGCGGCGUAGAGCUAGUUGUCAUUGGAGUUAUCUCUUGGUUUAAAUGGUUUAGUUUAGAAUCCAAAUUGAUGUAUUAUAGUUGAUUUGUAUUACGGAUAGUGAGUUAUUGUAAUAUGAAUUGUAGUUAGAAAGCUUUGUAGCCUGUGCAUUUGGGCUUAGUGGUGGUCCAAGCGUGGCAUAACACCCCAUUGGUUUGGAGUUUGAAUUCGCUUCCGCAUUUAUAUUCAGUCUUUUAGUAAG